This 77-nucleotide transfer RNA is filed under the name Anaerolineae bacterium. RNAcentral's name for it is "tRNA-Val". It matches the Rfam family "tRNA". From Rfam's summary of the family: Transfer RNA (tRNA) molecules are approximately 80 nucleotides in length. Their secondary structure includes four short double-helical elements and three loops (D, anti-codon, and T loops). RNAcentral also lists the same sequence under 2 other names. The record is from RNAcentral. Lineage: Bacteria; Bacillati; Chloroflexota; Anaerolineae.
GGGCGGUUAGCUCAGUUGGCUAGAGCGCCACGUUGACAUCGUGGAGGUCACAAGUUCAAGUCUUGUACCGCCCACCA